AUCAUUGGGCGUAAAGGGUGAGUAGGCGGAUAUGCAAGUCUAUGUGUAAAAUACCACAGCUCAACUGUGGAACUAUGCUGGAAACUGCAUGACUAGAGUCUGAUAGGGGAAGUUAGAAUUCCUGGUGUAAGGGUGGAAUCUGUUGAUAUCAGGAAGAAUACCAGAGGCGAAGGCGAACUUCUAGGUCAAGACUGACGCUGAGUCACGAAAGCGUAGGGAGCAAACAGGAUUAGAUACCCUGGUAGUCUACGCUGUAAACGAUGCACACUUGGUGUUAAUCGAAAGGUUAGUACCGAAGCUAACGUGUUAAGUGUGCCGCCUGGGGAGUAUGUUCGCAAGAAUGAAACUCAAAGGAAUUGACGGGGGCCCGCACAAGCGGUGGAGCAUGUGGUUUAAUUCGAUGAUACGCGAGGAACCUUACCAGGGCUUGACAUAUACAGGAUAUAGUUAGAGAUAACUAUUCCCCGUUUGGGGUCUGUAUACAGGUGCUGCAUGGUUGUCGUCAGCUCGUGCCGUGAGGUGUUGGGUUAAGUCCCGCAACGAGCGCAACCCUUGUUGUCUGUUACCAGCAUGUAAAGAUGGGGACUCAGACGAGACUGCCGGUGAUAAGCCGGAGGAAGGUGAGGAUGACGUCAAAUCAUCAUGGCCCUUAUGUCCUGGGCUACACACG
This 670-nucleotide ribosomal RNA is filed under the name Borrelia miyamotoi. RNAcentral's name for it is "bacterial SSU rRNA". It matches the Rfam family "Bacterial small subunit ribosomal RNA", at positions 550 to 1222 of the family's 1533-position model. Lineage: Bacteria; Pseudomonadati; Spirochaetota; Spirochaetia; Spirochaetales; Borreliaceae. The record is from RNAcentral.